RNAcentral lists this transfer RNA (75 nucleotides) under Gracilaria rangiferina. RNAcentral's name for it is "Hydropuntia rangiferina tRNA-Phe". It matches the Rfam family "tRNA". From Rfam's summary of the family: Transfer RNA (tRNA) molecules are approximately 80 nucleotides in length. Their secondary structure includes four short double-helical elements and three loops (D, anti-codon, and T loops). The record is from RNAcentral. Lineage: Eukaryota; Rhodophyta; Florideophyceae; Gracilariales; Gracilariaceae.
UGUCUAGAUAGCUCAGAGGUUAGAGCAUAGGGUUGAAAACCCUUGAGUCAUGGGUUCGAAUCCCAUUCUGGACAU